CCUACGGGAGGCUGCAGUGGGGAAUAUUGGACAAUGGGCGCAAGCCUGAUCCAGCCAUGCCGCGUGAGUGAUGAAGGCCCUAGGGUUGUAAAGCUCUUUCACCGGUGAAGCGGUAACCGGAGAAGAAGCCCCGGCUAACUUCGUGCCAGCAGCCGCGGUAAUACGAAGGGGGCUAGCGUUGUUCGGAUUUACUGGGCGUAAAGCGCACGUAGGCGGGCUUUUAAGUCAGAGGUGAAAUCCCAGGGCUCAACCCUGGAACUGCCUUUGAUACUGGAAGUCUUGAGUAUGGUAGAGGUGAGUGGAAUUGCGAGUGUAGAGGUGAAAUUCGUAGAUAUUCGCAGGAACACCAGUGGCGAAGGCGGCUCACUGGACCAUACUGACGCUGAGGUGCGAAAGCGUGGGGAGCAAACAGGAUUAGAUACCCGAGUAGUC
RNAcentral lists this ribosomal RNA (432 nucleotides) under uncultured bacterium. RNAcentral's name for it is "partial 16S ribosomal RNA". It matches the Rfam family "Bacterial small subunit ribosomal RNA", at positions 338 to 795 of the family's 1533-position model. The record is from RNAcentral.